Molecule: non-coding RNA, 457 nt
Organism: Calidris pugnax (ruff)
Lineage: Eukaryota; Metazoa; Chordata; Aves; Charadriiformes; Scolopacidae
Source: the annotation of a RefSeq genome assembly
GGGGUUAAAAGGGAGUCGGGGUCCGCGAGACAGGCCCAUCGGCGUGGGGACACGUAGCUGGUGGGAUUGCGCCAUGGCCUGGACCCCUCUCCUCCUGGCGGUGCUCGCCCAUGUCUCAGGUUCCCUGGUCCAGGCAGCGCUGACUCAGCAGCCGACCGAUUUGUCAGUGGAUGUGGGAAAAACCGUCAGCAUCACCUGUUCCGGUGCUAGCGGCAGCUAUGGCUGGUACCAGCAGAAGGUCCCUGGCACUGCCCCUGUCACUGUGAUCUACUGGAACGACAAGAGACCCUCGGGCAUCCCUCCGCGAUUCUCCGGAUCCAAGUCUGGCUCCACGGGCACGUUAACCAUCACUGGGGUCCAAGCCGAGGACGAGGCCGUCUAUUUCUGUGGUGGCUACGACAGCAGCUACAAUGCUGUAUUCGGGCCCGGGACCAUGUUGACCGUCCUGAGUGAGUAG